RNAcentral lists this ribosomal RNA (459 nucleotides) under uncultured bacterium. RNAcentral's name for it is "partial 16S ribosomal RNA". It matches the Rfam family "Bacterial small subunit ribosomal RNA", at positions 338 to 795 of the family's 1533-position model. The record is from RNAcentral.
CCUAGGGCGGCAGCAGUGAGGAAUAUUGGUCAAUGGGAGAGAUCCUGAACCAGCCAAGCCGCGUGAGGGAAGGCGGCCCUAUGGGUUGUAAACCUCUUUUGUCGGAGAACAAAACCCGGGACGUGUCCCGGACUGCGUGUAUCCGAAGAAAAAGCAUCGGCUAACUACGUGCCAGCAGCCGCGGUAAUACGUAGGGGGCAAGCGUUAUCCGGAUUUACUGGGUGUGAAGGGAGCGUAGACGGUGCGCCAAGUCUGGAGUGAAAUGCCGCAGCUUAACUGCGGAACUGCUUUGGAAACUGGCGAACUAGAGUGCGGGAGGGGUAAGCGGAAUUCCUAGUGUAGCGGUGAAAUGCGUAGAUAUUAGGAGGAACACCGGUGGCGAAGGCGGCUUACUGGACCGUAACUGACGUUGAGGCUCGAAAGCGUGGGGAGCAAACAGGAUUAGAUACCCGAGUAGUC